RNAcentral lists this ribosomal RNA (497 nucleotides) under uncultured bacterium. Its description in RNAcentral is "partial 16S ribosomal RNA". It matches the Rfam family "Bacterial small subunit ribosomal RNA", at positions 28 to 507 of the family's 1533-position model. The record is from RNAcentral.
GAUGAACGCUGGCGGCGUGCCUAAUACAUGCAAGUCGAGCGAACAGACGAGGAGCUUGCUCCUCUUACGUUAUCGGCGGACGGGUGAGUAACACGUGGAUAACCUACCUAUAAGACUGGGAUAACUUCGGGAAACCGGAGCUAAUACCGGAUUAUAUAUUGAACCGCAUGGUUCAAUAGUGAAAGACGGUUUUGCUGUCACUUAUAGAUGGAUCCGCUCCGCAUUAGCUACUUGGUAAGGUAACGGUUUACCAAGGCGACGAUGCGUAGCCGACCUGAGAGGGUGAUGGGCCACAGUGACACUGAGACACGGUCCAGACUCCUACGGGAGGCGGCAGUAGGAAAUCUUCAGCAAUGGGCGAAAGCCUGACGGAGCAACGCCGAGGGCGUGAUGAAGGUCUUCGGAUCGUAAAACUCUGUUACUAGGGAAGACCAAGUGUGUAAGUAACUAUGCACGUCUUGACGGUAGCUAAUCAGAAAGCAACGGCUAACUACGUG